RNAcentral lists this transfer RNA (74 nucleotides) under Coprobacillus sp. AF16-47. RNAcentral describes it as "tRNA-Gly". It matches the Rfam family "tRNA". Rfam says of the family: Transfer RNA (tRNA) molecules are approximately 80 nucleotides in length. Their secondary structure includes four short double-helical elements and three loops (D, anti-codon, and T loops). Further hydrogen bonds mediate the characteristic L-shaped molecular structure. tRNAs have two regions of fundamental functional importance: the anti-codon, which is responsible for specific mRNA codon recognition, and the 3' end, to which the tRNAs corresponding amino acid is attached (by aminoacyl-tRNA synthetases). tRNAs cope with the degeneracy of the genetic code in two manners: having more than one tRNA (with a specific anti-codon) for a particular amino acid; and 'wobble' base-pairing, i.e. permitting non-standard base-pairing at the 3rd anti-codon position. The record is from RNAcentral. Lineage: Bacteria; Bacillati; Bacillota; Erysipelotrichia; Erysipelotrichales; Coprobacillaceae. RNAcentral also lists the same sequence under 1 other name.
GCGGGUGUAGUUCAAUGGUAGAACUUCAGCCUUCCAAGCUGACUACGUGGGUUCGAUUCUCAUCACCCGCUCCA